RNAcentral lists this ribosomal RNA (460 nucleotides) under uncultured bacterium. RNAcentral's name for it is "partial 16S ribosomal RNA". It matches the Rfam family "Bacterial small subunit ribosomal RNA", at positions 338 to 795 of the family's 1533-position model. The record is from RNAcentral.
CCUACGGGAGGCAGCAGUGAGGAAUAUUGGUCAAUGGGCGCGAGCCUGAACCAGCCAAGUCGCGUGAGGGAUGACGGCCCUACGGGUUGUAAACCUCUUUUGCCGGGGAGCAACGGGCGCCACGUGUGGCGCCACUGAGAGUACCCGGAGAAAAAGCAUCGGCUAACUCCGUGCCAGCAGCCGCGGUAAUACGGAGGAUGCGAGCGUUAUCCGGAUGUAUUGGGUUUAAAGGGUGCGUAGGCGGCUCGUUAAGUCAGGGGUCAAAUUGAGGGGCUCAACCACUUCCCGCCAUUGAAACUGGAGAUCCUGAGUGGAAGAGAAGUAUGCGGAAUGCGUGGUGUAGCGGUGAAAUGCAUAGAUAUCACGCAGAACCCCGAUUGCGAAGGCAGCAUGCCGGCUUCCGACUGACGCUGAAGCACGAAAGCGUGGGGAUCGAACAGGAUUAGAUACCCGGGUAGUC